GCAUAUCAAUAAGCGGAGGAAAAGAAACUAACAAGGAUUCCCCUAGUAACGGCGAGUGAAGCGGGAUGAGCUCAAAUUUAAAAUCUGGCUGGUUUACUAGUCCGAAUUGUAGUUUAAAGAAGCGUUUUCGGUGGCAGCCUGGGUAUAAAUCCUUUGGAACAGGGUAUCAUAGAGGGUGAGAAUCCCGUCUUUGACUCAGUGCAUGCUACUAUGUGAUACGUUUUCAAAGAGUCGAGUUGUUUGGGAUUGCAGCUCAAAAUGGGAGGUAAAUUUCUCCUAAGGCUAAAUAUUGGCGAGAGACCGAUAGCGAACAAGUACCGUGAGGGAAAGAUGAAAAGAACUUUGAAAAGAGAGUUAAACAGUACGUGAAAUUGUUGAAAGGGAAACGAUUGAAGUCAGUCAUACCAACGGGAAAUCAACCUUUUGAGCUUGGUCUCGUGGGUUUUGAAGAGUUUCAAAGCCUUCGGAUUCGCGGGAUUGGGAUCUCUUAGUGUACUUUUUCGUACGGUUAGUCAACAUCGGUUUUGAAUGUCAUAAAAUGACUGGAGGAAUGUAGCUUCGAUCUCGUAUUGAAGUGUUAUAGCCUUUAGUAGAUGUGAUGUUUGAGACCGAGGAUUGCAACGGAUACCCUUCAGGGCUAUUCGUCUGAUCUCUGAUACGUUGCCUUGAUGUUGAAAGCUUGCUUAUGAUGUUAGGGUAUUACGGUCAAAAGGUUAGAACGAAUUACAUUCGUUAAGGAUGUUGACGUA
Molecule: ribosomal RNA, 749 nt
Filed under: uncultured Glomerales
Lineage: Eukaryota; Fungi; Glomeromycota; Glomeromycetes; Glomerales; Glomeraceae
Description: LSU rRNA
Rfam family: Eukaryotic large subunit ribosomal RNA
Source: RNAcentral